This 258-nucleotide ribosomal RNA is filed under the name Triticum aestivum (bread wheat). RNAcentral describes it as "partial small subunit ribosomal RNA". Lineage: Eukaryota; Viridiplantae; Streptophyta; Magnoliopsida; Poales; Poaceae. The record is from RNAcentral.
AUGAAAGCCACUGUUUUGAUUGCACAAGUCCCUGAACAAGAGUGGACGGGUAAAAAAAUACAGUAUAUUAAAGAAAACAAGGGUUCUGUUGAAUUUCAAGUAUUCAGUCUCACCAAUAAGAUACCGAGACUUGCAUCACAUUUGGAAUGACACAAAAAAGAUACUUCAUCAGAAAGAGGUCUACGAAGACUUGGGCAAACAUCGACGUUCGCUGGCUCAUGUGGCAAAGAGAAAAUAGAGUACGUUAUAAGAAAUUAA